This 200-nucleotide ribosomal RNA is filed under the name uncultured eukaryote. Its description in RNAcentral is "partial 18S ribosomal RNA". It matches the Rfam family "Eukaryotic small subunit ribosomal RNA", at positions 588 to 790 of the family's 1831-position model. The record is from RNAcentral.
GCUCCAAUAGCGUAUAUUAAAGCUGCUGCGGUUAAAAAGUUCGUAGUCGAAAGCCUGCCGCAGACAGGGGGUCCGUCCUUUGGACGUGAAUUCAGCUUGCCUGGGGCAUCACGGGGGGUCUCCGCACUGCAGUUGACUCUGCGGUGCGGGGUUCCCCGCCUUUACUUUGAGGAAAUCAGUGUGCUUCGAGCGAGCAGGGG